CCCCGGCACAAGGCAGCGGAGUCGUGUGGUUUAAUUCGAUGCUACACGAAGAACCUUACCAGGUCUUGACAUCCCUGACAACCCGAGAGAUCGGGCGUUCCCCUUCGGGGGACAGGGUGACAGGUGGUGCAUGGUUGUCGUCAGCUCGUGUCGUGAGAUGUUGGGUUAAGUCCCGCAACGAGCGCAACCCUCGACCUUAGUUGCCAGCAUUCAGUUGGGCACUCUAAGGUGACUGCCGGCUAAAAGUCGGAGGAAGGUGGGGAUGACGUCAAAUCAUCAUGCCCCUUAUGACCUGGGCUACACACGUGCUACAAUGGGCGGUACAAAGGGUCGCGAACCCGCGAGGGGGAGCCAAUCCCAAAAAGCCGCUCUCAGUUCGGAUUGCAGGCUGCAACUCGCCUGCAUGAAGCCGGAAUCGCUAGUAAUCGCGGAUCAGCAUGCCGCGGUGAAUACGUUCCCGGGCCUU
RNAcentral lists this ribosomal RNA (466 nucleotides) under uncultured Anoxybacillus sp. Its description in RNAcentral is "bacterial SSU rRNA". It matches the Rfam family "Bacterial small subunit ribosomal RNA", at positions 919 to 1382 of the family's 1533-position model. The record is from RNAcentral. Lineage: Bacteria; Bacillati; Bacillota; Bacilli; Caryophanales; Anoxybacillaceae.